GUUAUCAUAGCUUACAAUCAAGCAUAGCACUGAAAAUGCUAAGACGGCCUCCCCUGAUAACA
Molecule: transfer RNA, 62 nt
Filed under: Sinomicrurus macclellandi (MacClellands coral snake)
Lineage: Eukaryota; Metazoa; Chordata; Lepidosauria; Squamata; Elapidae
Description: tRNA-Phe
Source: RNAcentral